Non-coding RNA from Salmo salar (Atlantic salmon), 1719 nucleotides. Lineage: Eukaryota; Metazoa; Chordata; Actinopteri; Salmoniformes; Salmonidae. The record is from RefSeq and is a predicted model, not a curated record.
CUGGCCCGACGCACGCUUGUUCAACUCUAUCACCUCUACGUCCUUUAUCACACACCAGCCCAGAUCCACCGCAUCUGGGGAUGGUACAGGAGAGACUGGAGGCUAGCAGCAGCAUCAGCCACAGCCCCUCUCCUUCCCCAUGACAUCACCACCGAGCCCUACUAUUGGCUAAGAGGAAUGGCAGCAUCCAGCCCUGGCAGCCUAUCAGGUGGACCUGGACCUCACAGUCCCUGACGGACACGGUUACCGACCAAAGCCGACGACUGGGUCAACUAGAGAACACAACAAACUUUAUCGACACCAAACUGUCAUCAACGGUGCUCCGAGACCUCCGGCCCCAACGGGAAGAGCCGUAAGACAGAAGACACGGUCAAGACCCUGGAGUGGAGAGUGGUAGGCCAACGAGGAGGAUAUCCAGGAGUUUGACACCGUAUUCAAGAACCUGUUUGUGAUUGGUGACUCUAUCAUGGACAGGGUGGUGGAUCUUAGCAACAACAUCAAGAAGAUUAGGCUUGACGGGGGAGAACGGCAAGCCCUUUAACCGGAUAAUUAUGCAAGUGGAGAUGUUGUGGCGGAGCAAGGACGACUGUUCCGUCUGUACCUGAGUAGAAGAAGACCUGCGGUUAUUCACCAACAGCACCAACAGCGCCCUCGGGAGGUGGCAGGCGGCCAGUAUCAUUAGUUAUAACCACCACCGUUGUACAAGUUUACUACCCAGAAUGACUCUGUGAAGGGGCUGGGUCGUGACACCCUGUGUAAUUACCUGUGACACUAUGUAAUUACCUGUGACACUAUGUCAUUACCUGUGACACUCUAUGUCAUUACCUGCGGCACUCUAUGUCAUUACCUGUGGCAGUCUGUCAUUACCUGUGACACUCUAUGUCAUUACCUGUGACACUAUGUCAUUACCUGUGGCAGUCUAUGUCAUUACCUGUGGCAGUCUAUGUCAUUACCUGUGGCACUCUAUGUCAUUACCUGUGACACUAUGUCAUUACCUGCGACACUAUGUCAUUACCUGCGACACUAUGUCAUUACCUGCGACACUAUGUCAUUACCUGUGACACUAUGUCAUUACCUGUGACACUAUGUCAUUACCUGUGACACUAUGUCAUUACCUGUGACACUAUGUCAUUACCUGUGACACUAUAUGUCAUUACCUGUGACACUAUAUGUCCUCACCUGUGACACUAUAUGUCAUUACCUGUGACACUAUGUCAUUACCUAUGACACUCUAUGUCAUUACCUGUGGCACUAUGGGUUUUCCUGUGGCACUAUGUAAUUACCUGUGACACUAUGUCAUUAUCUGUGACACUCUAUGUAAUUACCUGUGACACUCUAUGUCCUUACCUGUGGCACUCUGUCAUUACCUGUGACACUAUGUCAUUACCUGUGGCAGUCUAUGUCAUUACCUGUGGCACUCUAUGUCAUUACCUGUGGCACUCUAUGUCAUUACCUGUGGCACUCUAUGUCAUUACCUGCGGCACUAUGUCAUUACCUGCGACACUAUGUCAUUACCUGCGACACUAUGUCAUUACCUGCGACACUAUGUCAUUACCUGCGACACUAUGUCAUUACCUGUGACACUAUAUGUCAUUACCUGUGACACUAUAUGUCAUUACCUGUGACACUAUGUCAUUACCUGUGACACUAUAUGUCAUUACCUGUGACACUAUGUCAUUACCUGUGACACUAUAUGUCAUUACCUGUGACACUAUAUGU